Molecule: long non-coding RNA, 263 nt
Filed under: Mytilus galloprovincialis (Mediterranean mussel)
Lineage: Eukaryota; Metazoa; Mollusca; Bivalvia; Mytilida; Mytilidae
Source: RNAcentral
CGGUGCAUUACGUUUGCGCGCAUUACCAUUACAUUUGCGCGCAAAAAUCAUUACGUUUGCGCGCAGCUUUUGAUUACAAUUGCGCGCAUUUUUUGACAGGUAAACUCAGGUAAAAUACAGGUAAUAAUACUUAUUUGAUUAUAAUUUGGUCAAUUAUUAACAAGUAUAAGUUCUCAUUCCGUUAGUGUUAGUCCCCAGCUCACCAACGAUGAGCUUAAAGUGGGAUUUCGAGAAAGAUAAGUCCGUUUUAUUAUGCACAAGCA